GGAUAUUAGAUUCUUGUUAGAGAUGGAUUUAUAUUUUCAUAUGAAAAAAAUAAAUUUUCGGGCGAAGAGAUCAAAAUAAACAUGAAACUCUUAACUUUCUUAUUUAGAAAUAAAAUUCUAAAUUUGUAUGAAAUUUUCAGAGACAGAAUUAAACAUAGAUCAACUUAUGAUUGUAAGUGACUACUAAAGUACAAGGUUUCUCGACCCAAGUUGAGAGAGAACCAAUGGACCAUGCAUCUUUAAUUAGCUUACAACAACUAUUAUCUAACUCCGGAAUGACACAAUCAAAAGGAUCGCCUUAACACCUCUUCAUGCUACCAGGAGCUAAGCUGGAACUUGAAACAUCAUGGCUAGUGUUGAGCGAGAAACCCAUGACAAACCAAAUGUCUUCAGUCUAAUAGUAGCAAAAACAAUGAAACUUUGUAUGAUGCUUCCAGAUCAUCAGUGAAAUUGCUUGAAACUCAGCUCGCACCUAUACACAUGCACAAUCAUUAUGCAUGUCCAAAUUAUUUACACUCAAGCUAACCAAAUCAACAAUAGUGACAUCCUAUACUAUUUAAAACAUACCAUUCUUAUUAUUAUCAACAUCAAGUGUGGUACCCUUGCUAACCAGUCACGUAAAAGCCUCAAUCCGGCAACACUAAUCAAUGCAAAAAAUAGGCAUCGUUACCCAUAAUUAAAUACAAAGAAAAAUACUGAAAUUUUGAAACAUGUAUAAUCUAAUAGCAUCAGUAAGAACGGCUACUACAUUACAUACCAUCUCCAUAGCACAUUAUGCUGUCAUGACGCUCCAAUUAAGCCUAAAACACAUAAAAUUUUAGUUUUUAGAUCAAGACUGAUACGAUAGUGAUGUGAUUUUAAUGAAAAAUAAUAUAGGAAAUACUCAAUUUUGACCAUGGAUAAAUUUUAUAAUACAUGAAUAGAUGAUUAAGGGGUUGGGGCAUGACAAGUAAAUUGAUACUUAGUAGAGUGUUUCUUGGUUAAUAAAUUGUAAUAAAAAUUAUAUAAAAUUGCAUGAAUUGGAUAAUCAUAUACAACCAACUAGUCGUACACAUUGUAAUGAACAAAAUCAAAUAAUUAUAAAAAUACUUAUGAUGAAAGUAAACCAAUCACUAUACCUCAUAAAUUUGAAAUCAAGUUGUAAAUCAAUGAAUAAUUUUAUCUUUCCGAAGCCUUCCAUUCCAUCUCCUAUAUGUUGGAUUUGAAAUAAUCGAAUUUGUUCAAGGAACAAACAUCAAAUCUAAAAAUGUGAGUUACAUAUCAUACCUAUACAUAUCAUACCAAAAUAACUUUUCACUGGAAGAAGAGAUAAAACUUAUGUCACAUACCUAAUUCUGCAAUGUGAUUGUCAUUCGUUUCUUCUUCCAUUUAAAAGAGCAAAUAAAAUAUUUAGCCCCAAGUACGAGGCACACCCGCG
This 1417-nucleotide long non-coding RNA is filed under the name Linum usitatissimum (flax). RNAcentral describes it as "long non-coding RNA (LUSI_LNC007029)". The record is from RNAcentral. Lineage: Eukaryota; Viridiplantae; Streptophyta; Magnoliopsida; Malpighiales; Linaceae.